AUUUUGACUCCUGGGUGCAGCCGUUCCUGGGAUUGACUGACAUUUUUCAGGCUUCCGGCUGGAUGCACGAUGAAAUGCAGUGUGGUGUAACACUGCUCUGAAACUGUUGAAAACCCGAGCUUCCACUGCGGCCCGUCCCUUGAUACCAUGAAUGGAAUAGAGAGCUGGAGAGACGAAUCAGCAGUUAACAGCACCGGCUGCACUUUCAGAGAACAAGAGUUUGCUCCCAGCACCUGACGGCAUGUAACACAGCUCCGGAUUGAGG
Molecule: long non-coding RNA, 265 nt
Filed under: Cricetulus griseus (Chinese hamster)
Lineage: Eukaryota; Metazoa; Chordata; Mammalia; Rodentia; Cricetidae
Description: lncRNA (ENSCGRG00015038564.1)
Source: RNAcentral